This 198-nucleotide ribosomal RNA is filed under the name uncultured Lactococcus sp. Its description in RNAcentral is "partial 16S ribosomal RNA". It matches the Rfam family "Bacterial small subunit ribosomal RNA", at positions 334 to 523 of the family's 1533-position model. The record is from RNAcentral. Lineage: Bacteria; Bacillati; Bacillota; Bacilli; Lactobacillales; Streptococcaceae.
UACUCCUACGGGAGGCAGCAGUAGGGAAUCUUCGGCAAUGGGGGCAACCCUGACCGAGCAACGCCGCGUGAGUGAAGAAGGUUUUCGGAUCGUAAAACUCUGUUGUUAGAGAAGAACGUUAAGUAGAGUGGAAAAUUACUUAAGUGACGGUAUCUAACCAGAAAGGGACGGCUAACUACGUGCCAGCAGCCGCGGUAA